GAUGAACGCUGGCGGCGUGCCUAAUACAUGCAAGUCGAGCGAACAGACGAGGAGCUUGCUCCUCUGACGUUAGCGGCGGACGGGUGAGUAACACGUGGAUAACCUACCUAUAAGACUGGGAUAACUUUGGGAAACCGGAGCUAAUACCGGAUAAUAUAUUGAACCGCAUGGUUCAAUAGUGAAAGACGGUUUUGCUGUCACUUAUAGAUGGAUCCGCGCCGCAUUAGCUAGUUGGUAAGGUAACGGCUUACCAAGGCGACGAUGCGUAGCCGACCUGAGAGGGUGAUCGGCCACACUGGUACUGAGACACGGUCCAGACUCCUACGGGAGGCAGCAGUAGGGAAUCUUCCGCAAUGGGCGAAAGCCUGACGGAGCAACGCCGCGUGAGUGAUGAAGGUCUUCGGAUCGUAAAACUCUGUUAUUAGGGAAGAACAAAUGUGUAAGUAACUAUGCACGUCUUGACGGUACCUAAUCAGAAAGCCACGGCUAACUACGUG
RNAcentral lists this ribosomal RNA (497 nucleotides) under uncultured bacterium. Its description in RNAcentral is "partial 16S ribosomal RNA". It matches the Rfam family "Bacterial small subunit ribosomal RNA", at positions 28 to 507 of the family's 1533-position model. The record is from RNAcentral.